Molecule: ribosomal RNA, 429 nt
Filed under: Bacteroidota bacterium
Lineage: Bacteria; Pseudomonadati; Bacteroidota
Description: Bacteroidetes bacterium partial 16S ribosomal RNA
Rfam family: Bacterial small subunit ribosomal RNA
Source: RNAcentral
UAGGGAAUCUUCGGCAAUGGGGGGAACCCUUACCGAGCAACGCCGCGUGAGUGAAGAAGGUUUUCGGAUCGUAAAGCUCUGUUGUUAAGGAAGAACGAGUGUGAGAAUGGAAAGUUCAUGCUGUGACGGUACUUAACCAGAAAGGGACGGCUAACUACGUGCCAGCAGCCGCGGUAAUACGUAGGUCCCGAGCGUUGUCCGGAUUUAUUGGGCGUAAAGCGAGCGCAGGCGGUUAGAAAAGUCUGAAGUGAAAGGCAGUGGCUCAACCAUUGUAGGCUUUGGAAACUGUUUAACUUGAGUGCAGAAGGGGAGAGUGGAAUUCCAUGUGUAACGGUGAAAUGCGUAGAUAUAUGGAGGAACACCGGUGGCGAAAGCGGCUCUCUGGUCUGUAACUGACGCUGAGGCUCGAAAGCGUGGGGAGCGAACAGG